AGUGAACGCUGGCGGUAGGCCUAACACAUGCAAGUCGAACGGCAGCACAGUAAGAGCUUGCUCUUACGGGUGGCGAGUGGCGGACGGGUGAGGAAUACAUCGGAAUCUACUUUUUCGUGGGGGAUAACGUAGGGAAACUUACGCUAAUACCGCAUAUGACCUACGGGUGAAAGCAGGGGAUCUUCGGACCUUGCGCGACUGAAUUAGCCGAUGUCGGAGUAGCUAGUUGGCGAGGUAAAGGCCCACCAAGGCGACGAUCCGUAGCUGGUCUGAGAGGAUGAUCGGCCACACUGGAACUGAGACACGGUCCAGACUCCUACGGGAGGCAGCAGUGGGGAAUAUUGGACAAUGGGCGCAAGCCUGAUCGAGCCAUGCCGCGUGGGUGAAGAAGGCCUUCGGGUUGUAAAGCCCUUUUGUUGGGAAAGAAAAGCAGCAGGUUAAUCCCCCGCUGUUCUGACGGUACCCAAAGAAUAAGCACCGGCUAACUUCGUG
RNAcentral lists this ribosomal RNA (492 nucleotides) under uncultured bacterium. RNAcentral's name for it is "partial 16S ribosomal RNA". It matches the Rfam family "Bacterial small subunit ribosomal RNA", at positions 29 to 507 of the family's 1533-position model. The record is from RNAcentral.